AGAACCUGUGGAUCAAGUAGAACAAAUGGGUGCAGUCCCAGAACCUGAAGUAAAAGUAGCUACUGCUGUUCCUGACCUUGUGGUAAAUUUUAUUUUAACUUUGUCCACCUUUUUUCUUGCAGUUCUGUUCUGUCUCUGCUUCCUUAUCUGUUAGUCUUUUCAGGUAGAAGUGCCUAUGACUGCUGGGGUUUUGUCAGUGGUGACCAAUCCCUUGAAGCCUCC
RNAcentral lists this long non-coding RNA (222 nucleotides) under Prunus persica (peach). RNAcentral describes it as "long non-coding RNA (PPER_LNC007893)". Lineage: Eukaryota; Viridiplantae; Streptophyta; Magnoliopsida; Rosales; Rosaceae. The record is from RNAcentral.